RNAcentral lists this ribosomal RNA (800 nucleotides) under Janthinobacterium svalbardense. Its description in RNAcentral is "bacterial SSU rRNA". It matches the Rfam family "Bacterial small subunit ribosomal RNA", at positions 614 to 1454 of the family's 1533-position model. The record is from RNAcentral. Lineage: Bacteria; Pseudomonadati; Pseudomonadota; Betaproteobacteria; Burkholderiales; Oxalobacteraceae.
ACAUGGAAUGCAUGGAGAUGCAGAGUAGAUCUGCAGAGGGAGUAGAUUCCAGCGUGCAUGAAAGCGUAGAUAUGGGAGCACACCAUGCGAGCAGCCCUGGUCAAGAUGAGGUCAACACGAAGCGGGGACGCAAACAGGUUCGUACCGUGCUAGUCCACACCGUAUCGAUUCUAGUAGUGUCGGGUCUUAAUUGACUUGGAACGCAGUAACGCGUGAAGUACCCGCGUGGGGAGUACCUCGCAAGAUUCAACUCAAAGGAAUGACGGGGACCCGCACAAGCGGCGGAUGAUGUGGAUUAAUUCGAUGCAACGCGCAAAACCUUACCUACCCUUGACAUGGCUGGAAUCCUUGAGAGAUCAGGCAUUGCUCGACAGAGAGCCAGUACACAGGUGCUGCAUGGCAGUCGUCAGCUCGUGUCGUGAGAUGUUGGGCUAAGUCCCGCAACGACCGCAACCCUUGUCAUUAGCUGGUACGAAAGGGCACUCUAAUGAGACUGCCGGUGACAAACCGGAGGAAGGUGGGGAUGACGUCAAGUCCUCAUGGCCCUUAUGGGUAGGGCUUCACACGUCAUACAAUGGUACAUACAGAGCGCCGCCAACCCGCGAGGGGGAGCUAAUCGCAGAAAGUGUAUCGUAGUCCGGAUUGUAGUCUGCAACUCGACUGCAUGAAGUUGGAAUCGCUAGUAAUCGCGGAUCAGCAUGUCGCGGUGAAUACGUUCCCGGGUCUUGUACACACCGCCCGUCACACCAUGGGAGCGGGUUUUACCAGAAAGUAGGUAGCUUAACCGUAAGGAGGGCGCU